UCCAGACUCCUACGGGAGGCAGCAGUGGGGGAUAUUGCACAAUGGGGGAAACCCUGAUGCAGCGACGCCGCGUGAGUGAAGAAGUAUUUCGGUAUGUAAAGCUCUCUCAGCAGGGAAGAAAAAAGACGGUACCUGACUAAGAAGCCCCGGCUAACUACGUGCCAGCAGCCGCGGUAAUACGUAGGGGGCAAGCGUUAUCCGGAUUUACUGGGUGUAAAGGGAGCGUAGACGGCAAUACAAGUCGGAAGUGAAAUACCCGGGCUCAACCUGGGAACUGCUUUGGAAACUGUAUGGCUGGAGUGCUGGAGAGGUAAGCGGAAUUCCUAGUGUAGCGGUGAAAUACGUAGAUAUUAGGAGGAACACCAGUGGCGAAGGCGGCUUACUGGACAGUAACUGACGUUGAGGCUCGAAAGCGUGGGGAGCAAACAGGAUUAGAUACCCCCGUA
RNAcentral lists this ribosomal RNA (446 nucleotides) under uncultured bacterium. RNAcentral's name for it is "bacterial SSU rRNA". It matches the Rfam family "Bacterial small subunit ribosomal RNA", at positions 330 to 792 of the family's 1533-position model. The record is from RNAcentral.